This 386-nucleotide ribosomal RNA is filed under the name Acinetobacter baumannii. RNAcentral's name for it is "bacterial LSU rRNA". It matches the Rfam family "Bacterial large subunit ribosomal RNA", at positions 475 to 865 of the family's 2925-position model. Lineage: Bacteria; Pseudomonadati; Pseudomonadota; Gammaproteobacteria; Moraxellales; Moraxellaceae. The record is from RNAcentral.
CCUGACUGACCGAUAGUGAACCAGUACCGUGAGGGAAAGGCGAAAAGAACCCCGGCGAGGGGAGUGAAAAAGAACCUGAAACCGUGUACGUACAAGCAGUGGGAGCACCUUCGGGUGUGACUGCGUACCUUUUGUAUAAUGGGUCAGCGACUUAUAUUCUGUAGCAAGGUUAACCGUAUAGGGGAGCCGCAGGGAAACCGAGUCUUAACUGGGCGUUAAGUUGCAGGGUAUAGACCCGAAACCCGGUGAUCUAGCCAUGGGCAGGUUGAAGGUUGGGUAACACUAACUGGAGGACCGAACCGACUAAUGUUGAAAAAUUAGCGGAUGACUUGUGGCUGGGGGUGAAAGGCCAAUCAAACCGGGAGAUAGCUGGUUCUCCCCGAAAG